UACAGAGGUCCCAAGCGUUGUUCGGAAUUACUGGGCGUAAAGGGCUCGUAGGUGGCCAACUAAGUCAGACGUGAAAUCCCUCGGCUUAACCGGGGAACUGCGUCUGAUACUGGAUGGCUUGAGUUCGGGAGAGGGAUGCGGAAUUCCAGGUGUAGCGGUGAAAUGCGUAGAUAUCUGGAGGAACACCGGUGGCGAAGGCGGCAUCCUGGACCGACACUGACGCUGAGGAGCGAAAGCCAGGGGAGCAAACGGG
This 253-nucleotide ribosomal RNA is filed under the name uncultured bacterium. Its description in RNAcentral is "partial 16S ribosomal RNA". It matches the Rfam family "Bacterial small subunit ribosomal RNA", at positions 524 to 776 of the family's 1533-position model. The record is from RNAcentral.